AGUGAACGCUGGCGGUAGGCCUAACACAUGCGAGUCGAACGGCAGCACAGUAAGAGCUUGCUCUUACGGGUGGCGAGUGGCGGACGGGUGAGGAAUACAUCGGAAUCUACUUUUUCGUGGGGGAUAACGUAGGGAAACUUACGCUAAUACCGCAUACGACCUACGGGUGAAAGCAGGGGAUCUUCGGACCUUGCGCGAUUGAAUGAGCCGAUGUCGGAUUAGCUAGUUGGCGGGGUAAAGGCCCACCAAGGCGACGAUCCGUAGCUGGUCUGAGAGGAUGAUAAGCCACACUGGAACUGAGACACGGUCCAGACUCCUACGGGAGGCAGCAGUGGGGAAUAUUGGACAAUGGGCGCAAGCCUGAUCCAGCCAUACCGCGUGGGUGAAGAAGGCCUUCGGGUUGUAAAGCCCUUUUGUUGGGAAAGAAAAGCAGCAGGUUAAUACCCCGCUGUUCUGACGGUACCCAAAGAAUAAGCACCGGCUAACUUCGUG
This 492-nucleotide ribosomal RNA is filed under the name uncultured bacterium. RNAcentral describes it as "partial 16S ribosomal RNA". It matches the Rfam family "Bacterial small subunit ribosomal RNA", at positions 29 to 507 of the family's 1533-position model. The record is from RNAcentral.